This 484-nucleotide ribosomal RNA is filed under the name uncultured bacterium. Its description in RNAcentral is "partial 16S ribosomal RNA". It matches the Rfam family "Bacterial small subunit ribosomal RNA", at positions 30 to 507 of the family's 1533-position model. The record is from RNAcentral.
AUUGAACGCUGGCGGCAGGCCUAACACAUGCAAGUCGAGCGGAUGAAGGGAGCUUGCUCCUGGAUUCAGCGGCGGACGGGUGAGUAAUGCCUAGGAAUCUGCCUGGUAGUGGGGGAUAACGUCCGGAAACGGGCGCUAAUACCGCAUACGUCCUGAGGGAGAAAGUGGGGGAUCUUCGGACCUCCCGCUAUCAGAUUAGCCUAGGUCGGAUUAGCUAGUUGGUGGGGUAAAGGCCUACCAAGGCGACGAACCGUAACUGGUCUGAGAGGAUGAUCCGUCACACUGGAACUGAGACACGGUCCAGACUCCUACGGGAGGCAGCAGUGGGGAAUAUUGGACAAUGGGCGAAAGCCUGAUCCAGCCAUGCCGCGUGUGUGAAGAAGGUCUUCGGAUUGUAAAGCACUUUAAGUUGGGAGGAAGGGCAGUAAGUUAAUGCCUUGCUGUUUUGACGUUACCAACAGAAUAAGCACCGGCUAACUUCGUG